This 489-nucleotide ribosomal RNA is filed under the name uncultured Bacilli bacterium. Its description in RNAcentral is "bacterial SSU rRNA". It matches the Rfam family "Bacterial small subunit ribosomal RNA", at positions 49 to 521 of the family's 1533-position model. Lineage: Bacteria; Bacillati; Bacillota; Bacilli. The record is from RNAcentral.
UAAUACAUGCAAGUAGAACGNCUGAAGGAGGAGCUUGCUUCUCCGGAUGAGUUGCGAACGGGUGAGUAACGCGUAGGUAACCUGCCUGGUAGCGGGGGAUAACUAUUGGAAACGAUAGCUAAUACCGCAUAAGAGUAGAUGUUGCAUGACAUUUGCUUAAAAGGUGCAAUUGCAUCACUACCAGAUGGACCUGCGUUGUAUUAGCUAGUUGGUGGGGUAACGGCUCACCAAGGCGACGAUACAUAGCCGACCUGAGAGGGUGAUCGGCCACACUGGGACUGAGACACGGCCCAGACUCCUACGGGAGGCAGCAGUAGGGAAUCUUCGGCAAUGGACGGAAGUCUGACCGAGCAACGCCGCGUGAGUGAAGAAGGUUUUCGGAUCGUAAAGCUCUGUUGUAAGAGAAGAACGAGUGUGAGAGUGGAAAGUUCACACUGUGACGGUAUCUUACCAGAAAGGGACGGCUAACUACGUGCCAGCAGCCGCGGU